AGCAGGUGGUUUAAUUUGAAGAACGGGAAGAACCUUACCAGGUCUUGACAUCUGACACCCCUAGAGAAGGGUCUUUCUUUCGGGAGCAGAGUGACAGGUGGGGCAUGGUUGUCUUCAGCUCGUGUCGUGAGAUGUUGGGUUAAGUCCCCCAACGAGGGCAACCCUUGUUUUUAUUUGCCAUCAUUAAGUUGGGCACUUUAAGGUGACUGCCGGUGACAAACCGGAGGAAGGGGGGGAGGAGGUCAAAUCAUCAUGCCCCUUAUGGCCUGGGUUACACCCGGUUCCAAUGGACGGUACAGAGAUGCAAGACCCCGAGGGGGAGCUAAUUUCAUAAAACCGUUUUCAGUUCGGAUUGUAGGAUGCAACUCGCCUCCAUGAAGCUGGAAUCGUUAGUAUUGCCGGAUCAGCAUGCCCCGGGGAAUAAUUCCGCCUUGUACCCCCCCCCCGUCCCCCGAGAGUUUGUAACCCCCA
Molecule: ribosomal RNA, 471 nt
Filed under: Bacillus sp. (in: firmicutes)
Lineage: Bacteria; Bacillati; Bacillota; Bacilli; Caryophanales; Bacillaceae
Description: Bacillus sp. (in: Bacteria) partial 16S ribosomal RNA
Rfam family: Bacterial small subunit ribosomal RNA
Source: RNAcentral